GACGAACGCUGGCGGCGUGCUUAACACAUGCAAGUCGAACGGAAGGGCCCUGCUCUUGUGGGGUGCUCGAGUGGCGAACGGGUGAGUAACACGCGUGUAUCCCGCCCUUGACUUUGGGAUAACUUCAGGAAACUGGGGCUAAUACCGGAUAGGAUCUCUUGCUGCGUGGUGGGGGUUGGAAAGUUUCGGCGGUUGGGGAUGGACUCGCGGGUUAUCAGCUUGUUGGUGGGGUAGUGGCUUACGAAGGGUUUGACGGGUAGCCGGCCUGGGAGGGGGACCGGCGACAUUGGGACUGAGAUACGGACCAGACGCGUACGGGAGGCAGCGGUGGAGAAUAUGGCGGAGUGGGGGGGAGCGUGAUGCAGCGGCGCCGCGUGCGGGAUGACGGCCUUCGGGUGGAGAACCGCUGUCGCCUGUGACGAGGCGGGAGUGACGGUAAUGGGUAAGGAAGCACCGGCUAACUACGUG
This 468-nucleotide ribosomal RNA is filed under the name uncultured bacterium. RNAcentral's name for it is "partial 16S ribosomal RNA". It matches the Rfam family "Bacterial small subunit ribosomal RNA", at positions 28 to 507 of the family's 1533-position model. The record is from RNAcentral.